Long non-coding RNA from Rhopalosiphum maidis (corn leaf aphid), 170 nucleotides. RefSeq lists it as uncharacterized. NCBI's taxonomy places the organism in Eukaryota, Metazoa, Arthropoda, Insecta, Hemiptera, Aphididae. The record is from RefSeq and is a predicted model, not a curated record. The transcript has 4 exons.
AUUACAGCAGGAAUAAAUGUACGCAGUUUUGUUGAACUAAUGAUCAAUAAAGUAGAGGCCAUAUUGGAGUCAAACAAAACCAAAAAGAUUGUUGUUAUACCACUGAAAGAUCUAACAAACAAUGAUUUUGUUGAACAUUAUCUUUCUGGGUAUGAGGAGAUCAAAGCUAG